RNAcentral lists this ribosomal RNA (254 nucleotides) under uncultured bacterium. Its description in RNAcentral is "partial 16S ribosomal RNA". It matches the Rfam family "Bacterial small subunit ribosomal RNA", at positions 524 to 776 of the family's 1533-position model. The record is from RNAcentral.
CACGUAGGGGGCGAGCGUUGUCCGGAUUUAUUGGGCGUAAAGAGCUCGUAGGUGGCUCGGUAAGUCGGGUGUGAAAUUUCGAGGCUCAACCUCGAGACGCCACCUGAUACUGCUGUGGCUAGAGUCCGGUAGGGGAGCGUGGAAUUCCUGGUGUAGCGGUGAAAUGCGCAGAUAUCAGGAGGAACACCAGCGGCGAAGGCGGCGCUCUGGGCCGGUACUGACACUGAGGAGCGAAAGCGUGGGGAGCAAACAGG